This 77-nucleotide transfer RNA is filed under the name Candidatus Tectimicrobiota bacterium. Its description in RNAcentral is "tRNA-Pro". It matches the Rfam family "tRNA". From Rfam's summary of the family: Transfer RNA (tRNA) molecules are approximately 80 nucleotides in length. Their secondary structure includes four short double-helical elements and three loops (D, anti-codon, and T loops). Further hydrogen bonds mediate the characteristic L-shaped molecular structure. tRNAs have two regions of fundamental functional importance: the anti-codon, which is responsible for specific mRNA codon recognition, and the 3' end, to which the tRNAs corresponding amino acid is attached (by aminoacyl-tRNA synthetases). tRNAs cope with the degeneracy of the genetic code in two manners: having more than one tRNA (with a specific anti-codon) for a particular amino acid; and 'wobble' base-pairing, i.e. permitting non-standard base-pairing at the 3rd anti-codon position. The record is from RNAcentral. Lineage: Bacteria; Pseudomonadati; Candidatus Tectimicrobiota.
CGGGACGUAGCGCUGCCUGGUAGCGCACUUGCUUCGGGAGCAAGGGGUCGCUGGUUCAAAUCCAGUCGUCCCGACCA